AUUGAACGCUGGCGGCAGGCCUAACACAUGCCAGUCGAGCGGAUGAAGGGAGCUUGCUCCUGGAUUCAGCGGCGGACGGGUGAGUAAUGCCUAGGAAUCUGCCUGGUAGUGGGGGAUAACGUCCGGAAACGGGCGCUAAUACCGCAUACGUCCUGAGGGUGAAAGUGGGGGAUCUUCGGACCUCACGCUAUCAGAUGAGCCUAGGUCGGAUUAGCUAGUUGGUGGGGUAAAGGCCUACCAAGGCGACGAUCCGUAACUGGUCUGAGGGGAUGAUCAGUCACACUGGAACUGAGACACGGUCCAGACUCCUACGGGAGGCAGCAGUGGGGAAUAUUGGACAAUGGGCGAAAGCCUGAUCCAGCCAUGCCGCGGGUGUGAAGAAGGUCUUCGGAUUGUAAAGCACUUUAAGUUGGGAGGAAGGGCAGUAAGUUAAUACCUUGCUGUUUUGACGUAACCAACAGAAUAGGCACCGGCUAACUUCGU
RNAcentral lists this ribosomal RNA (483 nucleotides) under uncultured bacterium. RNAcentral describes it as "partial 16S ribosomal RNA". It matches the Rfam family "Bacterial small subunit ribosomal RNA", at positions 30 to 506 of the family's 1533-position model. The record is from RNAcentral.